RNAcentral lists this long non-coding RNA (698 nucleotides) under Mytilus galloprovincialis (Mediterranean mussel). Lineage: Eukaryota; Metazoa; Mollusca; Bivalvia; Mytilida; Mytilidae. The record is from RNAcentral.
AUCACUUUCAUUUAUAGACACAACUUUUAUUUUGGUUAAACAAACUAUCCUAAUGUUUCCCAUAAACAUAAUUUUAAAAGUCUUAUACAAAAUUGAGAUCUUUUACACUUGAUACAGUUUAACAAUAAGGAAACCUGGCUUAAUUUUCAGAAUUAACUAUUUCCAGAAAUGACAAACAAAUCAUUUAUGGAACAGAACCAUUAAUUAAGAGGAAAGUUAACAAAAGAUAUUGAACAAGUAAUUGACAAACUGUAUUGCUAACCAGUGGCAGAACCAGAACAUGUUGUAAGGGGGGCCCACUGACUGACCUAAGUUGGGCUUACUCCAGUCACACUUCAGUGUUUCCCUAUAUAAUCAACCAAAUCAACCCAGCCCGGCUGUCCCCCUCUGGAUCGGACAUUGCUAACAAACAAUGUCAUAAUUGUUUGAAGACUUCUAUGUUUUGGAAUUUUUUAUUUAUUCUGUUAAAUUCAACUGCAAUGUUGUAAACUGUGAGCAUUUAUAAAAAUCAACAUUUACAUUUUGUAAAAACAUUACAGCAUGGCUUUAUUUUUUCAUAGUUUAUUGUUUAAGAUUUGUUUGUUUUAUUUGUUAUAUAUGUUGUUUAUUUUUGUUCUGAUGAAUAUAUUAUUAAUGCUGAUGAAUUAUUUAUUAAGCGUUUUCUUCUUCUUUCUGUAACUUCCUCCUGUGGUUAGGAG